UCGUGUGCCCCGCCCAUCUCCUAGGUCAGCAUCGCCAUGUUUUGUCGUGUACGGCGGUGGCGGCAGGGCCGCCACCUGCGCGUCCGUGCUAGCCGCCUUCUUGGCGUCCCUGGCCUCCUCUGCCAGCUCCCCCCAAAAGGACCAUGCGUGCCGCUGCGCCUCUGGCGCCAGGCCGCUGACCGGUGCAGUCCCCUGCAUGUUACACCGAGCUCAAUGAGACGAAGGAGGCACUGUGUUCUUUUCACAACAAUAAUCUUGGACGCUGUCCACCUCUUGGCCUGGCUGGACUUUUCCUGAACUUUUGGGUGGUCUCCCACAGAAGACCCCACUCUUUUAUCAACAACCACCGUGACAGACAAGCUGAGAUGACAAAAGCCUCUCCACCAGAGAAGACCCUGAGAAAUCCCCAUGUGAGAAAAGGCCUCCCUCACACUUUCCAAGGACUGGAGCCCCCAGCCCGGGGGAGGUGCACGGGGGGAGGUGAGCUGACCAAAGCAAGAUGGAUGACUGCAGGUGCAGGCACUGGACCAUAAAAACAAUGGCCUUCAUUCCUUGCAAAGUGGACUGUGUGUACCCCUUUUAUAAAUACCAUUCUUUCUAUACAAUAGAUUUGGUUUCGAAAUAAUGCCCUUCCCCCUCAUCAAGAACAGUAUAAUUAGGGUCCCGAAUGGACUGCCUUUCUGAGAUCUCCCCAGGACGUGAACUGGUGAACCUCUUCGGCUGGACACUGAAGGACCUCGGCCAUUCUAACGUUUUGGUAGCUAUAACCCUCCCUUUUUCUUUCCCUUCCUUAUUUUUCCCUUUUUCCCUUAAUUCUCCCCAACACAUUUUUACUGUGGUUGUUUCAAUAAAGUCCAUUGUGUUGAUUAACCUGCAAACCCCCUUG
This is a long non-coding RNA of Serinus canaria (Common canary), 886 nucleotides long. RefSeq lists it as uncharacterized. NCBI's taxonomy places the organism in Eukaryota, Metazoa, Chordata, Aves, Passeriformes, Fringillidae. The record is from RefSeq and is a predicted model, not a curated record. The transcript is spliced from 2 exons.